RNAcentral lists this long non-coding RNA (555 nucleotides) under Hordeum vulgare. RNAcentral describes it as "long non-coding RNA (HVUL_LNC018775)". The record is from RNAcentral. Lineage: Eukaryota; Viridiplantae; Streptophyta; Magnoliopsida; Poales; Poaceae.
CUAUUUUCCCUUUUCCUUGCUUGCUUACACAUCAUGAGUAGAAACAAUUUAACCGCAUAACUGCACCAUGAAUUUAAUCUUGUGGCAUGUCAGGUGGUAUUAAAAUAUGUGUGCAUGCAUCUCACCUACAUUUGCUUAUUUGUUAUCUUCAUGUUUGCGAGUAUAUUCAAAGUACUAACUAGCUUGUCCCUCGCUAUUGUGUAGGCCACAUCGCAUAUUUGGAGAGGAGAAGGAUGAUAGAAACCCCAGAACCUGAGAGUGGAGGAUAGCAGCAUUAUGAUAUAGGAAUUAUCAAGGUUAGUUGUUCCCGUGGAGAUGGACCCCAUGAGGACUGGAGGCUUCAUGAGCCGCUUCCGCCGUCAGCCUCUAGACAUUUUUGUCCAACCUACCCUCUUAGACCUUCAUGGUUUUGUACCCAAAUUUUGUAAUUGCCUGGAAUAUCUGUUUCCAGUAAGUGUUCAAUAGCUAAUAGUAGUCCUGGGGCUAAUGAACACAAGGGUAUGUUUUCUGGAAAUUUGUUUCCAAAAAACCGGUUGAUACAAACAUCAAAUGGGG